Molecule: ribosomal RNA, 2874 nt
Filed under: Codium fragile
Lineage: Eukaryota; Viridiplantae; Chlorophyta; Ulvophyceae; Bryopsidales; Codiaceae
Description: 23S ribosomal RNA
Rfam family: Bacterial large subunit ribosomal RNA
Source: RNAcentral
GUCAAAUAAAAAAAUGUUUAAGGAGGAUACCUAAGUACUCAAAGACGACGAAGGGCGUGUUUAACUGCGAAAAGCUUUAAUUAAUGGUAAAAACGUGUUUAAAUUAAAGAUUCCCGAAUAGAGCAAUCUGUAAAACUAUCUAAUAAAUUCAUAAUUAGAUAAGAGAUAACUUAGUGAACUGAAACAUCUUAGUAACUAAAGGAAAAGAAAGCAAAAGCGAUUUUCAAAGUAGUGGUGAACGAAAUGAAAAAAGUCUAAACUAAUAAUUUAUUAGGGUUGUGGGACAAAACUAAAAAAAAAUUUUUUUAAUAAACAGCUGAAACCUGUACCAAAGAUGGUGAAAGUCCAGUAUAAAAAAAUUGAAUCAAAUGUAUCCCAAGUAGCUUGAGACACGUGUAAUCUCUUGUGAAUCCACGAGGACCACCUCGUAAGACUAAAUACUCUUGAGUGACUAAUAGUGAAAAAGUACCGUGAGGGAAAGGUGAAAAAGAACCCCGGGAGGGGAGUGAAAUAGAACAUAAAACCUUAAACAGACAAACAGUGGGAGGAUUAUACUGACCGCGUGCCUGUUGAAGAAUGAGCCGGCGACUCGUAUAAAAUGGCAAGGUUAAAAAAUUUUUUUUGGAGCCAUAGUGAAAACAAGUCUUAAAUUUAGGGCGUAAAAAAGUCAUUUUAUAUGGACCCGAACCCGAGUGAUCUAACCAUGACCAGGAAGAAACUUGGAUAAAACCAAGUGGAAGUCCGAACUGACCAAUGUUGAAAAAUUGACAGAUGAGUUGUGGUUAGGGGUGAAAUGCUAAUCGAACUCGGAGCUAGCUGGUUCUCCUCGAAAUGCGUUGAGGCGCAGCAUUUUGAAUUUUAUUAAGGGGUAAAGCACUGUUUCGGUGCGGGCUAUGAAAGUAGUACCAAAUCGUGGCAAACUUAGAAUACUUAAUUAAAAACACAAAAUAGUGAGACUAUGGGGGAUAAGCUUCAUAGUCAAAAGGGAAACAGCCCAGAUCAUCAGCUAAGGCCCCUAAAUAAUUCCUAAGUGAUAAAGGAAGUAAAAAUGCAAAAACAAUCAAAAGGUUUGCUUAGAAGCAGCUAUCCUUUAAAGAGUGCGUAAUAGCUCAUUGGUAAAGCGUUUUUGCACCGAAAAUGAACGGGACUAAGGAAUUUGCCGAAGCUAUGAGUUCACAUAAAAUAGUGAACGGUAGAGGAGCGUUCUGUCGUAGGGUGAAGUAAUAUUGAAAAAUAUUAUGGACGAAACAGAAGUGAGAAUGUCGGCUUGAGUAACGUAAACAUUGGUGAGAAUCCAAUGCUCCGAAAAUCUAAGGAUUCCUUCACUAGGCUCGUCCGGGAAGGGUUAGUCAGGACCUAAGGUGAGAUCGAAAGGUGUAAUCGAUGGAAAACAGGUUAAUAUUCCUGUACUUAUUUUUUUUUCAUAACGAGGGACAAAGCAAACUAUGAUAGCAAAUAAUUGGAUUUUUGUAUAGAUAAAGAAAAUAGAUAAUGAAGAAAAACAUUAUUUUUUUUUGAAUUAUUAAAAAAUUUAUAAUUUUUUUUGUAAAUUUUAAUCAAAUGUGUUACUUUCAAGAAAAGCUCGAAUUAUUGAAUAAAAAAAAAUAACCUGUACCAAUAACCGACACAGGUGGAUAGGUAGAAUAUACUAAGGAGCGCGAGAUAACUCUCUCUAAGGAACUCGGCAAAAUAACUCCGUAACUUUGGGAGAAGGAGUACCUUUUUUUAAAGGUGACAGUACAUUGACCCAGGCGACUGUUUAACAAAAACAUAGGUCUCCGCAAAGUCUAAAAACAACGUAUGGGGGCUGACGCCUGCCCAGUGCCGGAAGGUUAAAAAAUUUAGUUAUUUUUUUUAAGAAAAGCUAAAAAUUGAAGCCCCGGUGAACGGCGGCCGUAACUCUGACGGUCCUAAGGUAGCGAAAUUCCUUGUCGCGUAAGUUGUGACCCGCACGAAUGGCGUAACGAUCUGGGUACUGUCUCAGAGAGAGACUCGGUGAAAUAGAAAUGUCUGUGAAGAUGCGGACUUCUUACAUCUGGACAGAAAGACCCUAUGAAGCUUGACUGUAUCUUAAAAUUGAAUUUGAGUUUUUUUUGCGCAGUCUAAGUGGGAGACAAUGAAAAUAAUUUUUUGGAAAUAUUUGAGUCGUAAAAUGAGAGACCACUCUUGAAAAACUAAAAUUCUAAUAAUACAUUCUUCUAUCAGAAUAUUAAACAGUUUUAGGUGGGCAGUUUUUUUGGGGCGAAAACCUCCCAAAAAGUAACGGAGGUGUACAAAGGUUUCUUCAAACUGGACGGAAAUCAGUUAUAGAGUAUAAAGAUAAAAAGAAGCUUAACUGUGAGACAGACACGUCAAACAGAGGCGAAAGCCGGUCUUAGUGAUCCGACGGUUCUAAGUGGAAAGGCCGUCGCUCAACGGAUAAAAGUUACUCUAGGGAUAACAGGCUGAUCUUCCCCAAGAGUUCACAUCGACGGGAAGGUUUGGCACCUCGAUGUCGGCUCAUCGCAACCUGGGGCAGUAGUAUGUCCCAAGGGUUGGGCUGUUCGCCCAUUAAAGCGGUACGUGAGCUGGGUUCAGAACGUCGUGAGACAGUUUGGUCCAUAUCCGAUGUAAGCGUAGGAAUAUUGAGAAGAGCUUUCCAUAAUACGAGAGGACUUGGAAAGCUAAACCUCUGGUGUACCAGUUCUUAUGCCAAUAGGAAACGCUGGGUAGCUAUGUUUAGAGGAGAUAACUGCUGAAAGCAUCUAAGUAGGAAGCCCACUUCAAGAUGAUUAUUCUUUAUGAGAUCACGGAAAGAUGAUCCGUUAAAUAGGAAUUCAGUGUAAAACUAGUAAUAGUCAUAGCUAAAAUUUACUAACGAUCCAAUUUUUUGAC